This 218-nucleotide unclassified non-coding RNA is filed under the name Karenia papilionacea. Its description in RNAcentral is "ITS1". Lineage: Eukaryota; Dinophyceae; Gymnodiniales; Kareniaceae. The record is from RNAcentral.
UCACACGCAUCUAUUCUGAUUCAUUGUGAACCACCUGAUGUGAGUUGCGCCUUUAGAUGGAGACAACUUGUCUACAACUUUGGGUGGAAUCUCGCGGGUAGUCUGAACGAUAUUGGACCGUCUUCCUUUAUUGUCUGGCUACCGUGUCUGUGUGAGCGAUGUUUUGUUUUGUCAUCAAUCUUCCAUCUUUGGUGGGUGACCACCUGUGAUUGCUUCAU